RNAcentral lists this unclassified non-coding RNA (282 nucleotides) under uncultured fungus. RNAcentral's name for it is "partial contains small subunit ribosomal RNA, internal transcribed spacer 1, and 5.8S ribosomal RNA". The stretch from base 1 to 73 matches the Rfam family "Eukaryotic small subunit ribosomal RNA", at positions 1759 to 1831 of the family's 1831-position model. The record is from RNAcentral. Lineage: Eukaryota; Fungi.
GCAAACUUGGUCAUUUAGAGGAAGUAAAAGUCGUAACAAGGUUUCCGUAGGUGAACCUGCGGAAGGAUCAUUAUCGAAACGGGAAAGCCUAGGAGGGGAGACCCUCCGAAGCUUUCGACCUUCUCAACACCCGUGUGCACCCACUGUAGGACCUUCGGGGCCUACGUCUCAUCUCUUCGACUCCGCAUGUCUACAGAAUGUAUGCGUCGCCUCGGCGAUGGCAAAGCUCAUACAACUUUCAGCAAUGGAUCUCUUGGCUCUCGCAUCGAUGAAGAACGCAGC